AGGGAUGGAGGCCUUCGGGUUGUGAACCUCUUUCGCCAGUGAAGCAGGCCUGCCCCUGGUGGGUGGGUUGACGGUAGCUGGAUAAGAAGCGCCGGCUAACUACGUGCCAGCAGCCGCGGUAAUACGUAGGGCGCGAGCGUUGUCCGGAAUUAUUGGGCGUAAAGAGCUCGUAGGCGGCUGGUCGCGUCUGUCGUGAAAUCCUCUGGCUUAACUGGGGGCUUGCGGUGGGUACGGGCCGGCUUGAGUGCGGUAGGGGAGGCUGGAACUCCUGGUGUAGCGGUGGAAUGCGCAGAUAUCAGGAAGAACACCGGUGGCGAAGGCGGGUCUCUGGGCCGUUACUGACGCUGAGGAGCGAAAGCGUGGGGAGCGAACAGGAUUAGAUACCCUGGUAGUCCACGCCGUAAACGUUGGGCACUAGGUGUGGGGGGCCUUUUCCGGGUUUUCCGCGCCGUAGCUAACGCAUUAAGUGCCCCGCCUGG
RNAcentral lists this ribosomal RNA (479 nucleotides) under Actinomyces oris. Its description in RNAcentral is "bacterial SSU rRNA". It matches the Rfam family "Bacterial small subunit ribosomal RNA", at positions 404 to 876 of the family's 1533-position model. Lineage: Bacteria; Bacillati; Actinomycetota; Actinomycetes; Actinomycetales; Actinomycetaceae. The record is from RNAcentral.